UCUUAGGUCCAGUACCUUCUAAGAGUACCUGGCCCAGCCAAGGAUUUGAUAACCACAGAACUAAAAGGAUGAAUUUUCACUUGUUCAGCCUUCUAGGGCUGAACCACUGCCAGUGACUGAAAAUACACUAAGUUUACACCUAAAAGCUGACUGGGACUUAUAAAAUGGAAAAGGAGGGCAGAAAAGGUCUUUAUUUCUGCUUGAUGUCCCCCUUCGUGGGACCUGGCAAGGGAGAGGCACAUCCCUCUGGCUCAUGGCUGGGAAAUCUUGCACGGCAUUUAGAAGUUACAGACAAUCACCUCCUCUGAUCCCCUGGCCGACACAUGGCAAGAGGCUUCUCAGAAUAAUAAGAGCUGAGGACAGUGUCUGACACAUGAAAGGCCCCCAGAAAUGUGUGCAGCUAAAAUGAUGGAUGGCAGAAAUAGUUCACACAUUCAAAAAAUCCAAAGAUAAGAGAAAGCAGCCAUAUUCUGAGGCCCAAAGAGGACCUCAAAAUCCUAACAACUGCUGUUGUGAAUAGCUGAUAAAA
Molecule: long non-coding RNA, 529 nt
Filed under: Bos taurus (domestic cattle)
Lineage: Eukaryota; Metazoa; Chordata; Mammalia; Artiodactyla; Bovidae
Description: long non-coding RNA NONBTAT018779
Source: RNAcentral